ACCAGCGAAUGGAAGAUGGACUUUAACCCAGGCAAGUUUGUGAAAUGAUGCAUUCUGAGAAGUUAAAACAGGCUUGGACGUGCUGGGUGAUUAGCAGGGCCCUGGGGAGUGUUACUGAACAGAAAGACCUUGGAGUGCGAGCACAAAGUUGCCUCAGAGCAGUGACACAAGUAGACAGAGGGAUGAAGAACAUGUAUGGUAUGCUUGCUAUUGUUGGCCAAGGCUUUGAGUGGGAGAGUGGGUUGUCACAUUACAGCUGCAGCUGGAGUAUUGUGUGCAGAUCUAGUUGCUGUGCCGUUCCAAAACUGUGAAUAAGUCGGGGAAGGAGCAGAAACAGAAAAGAUUCACAGGAAUGUUGCCUUGAUUGGAGGGGGCCCCACACAGUCCUUCCAGGUGAGGCAGCACUUCACUUGCGAGUCUGACCGAGCUGUCUAGGUACAGAGGAAAUGCAAGGGUGAUAAGUACAUGAGUAGGG
This is a long non-coding RNA of Hypanus sabinus (Atlantic stingray), 475 nucleotides long. RefSeq lists it as uncharacterized. NCBI's taxonomy places the organism in Eukaryota, Metazoa, Chordata, Chondrichthyes, Myliobatiformes, Dasyatidae. The transcript is spliced from 3 exons. The record is from RefSeq and is a predicted model, not a curated record.